RNAcentral lists this long non-coding RNA (1587 nucleotides) under Anas zonorhyncha (Eastern spot-billed duck). RNAcentral's name for it is "lncRNA (ENSAZOG00000010339.1)". Lineage: Eukaryota; Metazoa; Chordata; Aves; Anseriformes; Anatidae. The record is from RNAcentral.
AUGGAGGGGCUGCAGAGCAGGGGAGAGAGACCCGAGGGGCUGCUGGAGGGGCGAGGGGUGGAUAAAACCCAUCAGGGAGCGGGGUCGGGCCAUGGCGGGGUGGCAGCCGCCGAGCCGCUGCCCGCUGUGUUGCAGGAACAUCACCGAGAUGAUGACGACCGUCUCCCUGCAGAUCGUGGGCAUCAUCGAGCCGCUCAUCCAGCACGCAGACUGGUUCUUCCCCGGAGACAUCGAGUUCAAUGUCACGGGGAACUACGGCAGCCCCAUGCACGUGAACCACAACGCCAACUACAGCUCCAUGCCCUCCCCGGACAUGGACCACGCCGACCGCAAGCAGCACGACCAGGCGCGGCGGCCGCUCAGCGUGGCCACGGACAACAUGAUGCUGGAGUUUUACAAGAAGGAUGGCAUGGGCGUCAGGGUGAUGGACACCUCGUGGGUGGCCCGCAGAGGCACCUCGGGGGGGCGCAAGGCGUCCGCCACCCCCCCGGCCACGCAGCCCCCCGCGCCGCCCGCCGAGCUGCCCGCCACGCCGCACUCGCCCAUCCCCGAGCAAGCGCCCGAUAUUUCGGCGACCCCCUCUCCUCCUCCCACCAGCUUCGGCUUCCCACCCGCAGCCGAGCGGGCAAGCACUUUAAAGCCCAAGGAGCUCUCCCCCGUCUCUGGGCCGCAGAAGGGCAGCGGGCAGCAGGCAGCGGCCGCGCCACCGUCCCCCGCCGAGCAGAGCCCCCGCAGCCUGCGCAAAGCCUCCAAGAAGCUGGCGCCCAUCCCGCCCAAGGCGCCCUCGGGGGGCACGUCGGAGCCGCCGGCGGGCCAGCCGUCCCCCGCCAGCCUGUCCCCCACCCCACCGAGCACCCCCGCGCCCUAUGGACUCGCUUACCCUCAAGGCUACUGCCUGGCCUCAGGUCUGGUCCAUUUCGAGAUCCCGUCCAUCCACCUCGGCGUCGAUGCUGCCCUGCGCCGGGACCCGCCGGACGCCACGCAGAGACUGUCGGUGAAAGCCCCCCCGGAGGAGGAGGAGGACUCGGAGAGCACGGCCCUAUGACAGCGUCCCCUCCCCGCCCGUCCCCGCGGCACCCGGCCGGCGCUCGGGGGACUUGGUUGCUCCUUGGUUGGGUUGGGUUGGGUUGGGGUCGCCUUAUCCAGACUUUGCCUUGUGACUCGGUGCCUAUGUCCCCCCCGGCAGGCACCCACGUCCCGGGGCACAUCCAGCGUCCCCGCGGUGCCACCGGGGCUGGAGAGGUGCCAGCGGCCCCGUCCUCCCCCCAAAACAGGGCACGGGGGGCACCACGCGGGUGGCGUUGCUCCGGGGUCUCGUCUCUUUGCUUCGGCCCCACCGUGCGCUCGCUGUGGCCGAGCGGGGCUGGGGGAGGCCGGCCCAGCAGCAAUAAGGCAAGUGCUGGGGGGGGCACGCGUCCCCGUGCCCCGCCUGCAGCCCCCGCUCGCUGUCCUCGUGGGUUGGUGGCGUGGAGCAGAGGCUUUGGUUGUGCAUGCAGAGACAAAGUAACCUUUUAUCCUUUUCAGAGAGAUGGUAUAUAUAUAUAUCUGGUGGGCAUAGAUAUAUAUAUAUUAUAUAUUUGUACAUAG